AUACGUAGGGUGCGAGCGUUAAUCGGAGUUACUGGGCGUAAAGCGUGCGCAGGCGGUUGUGCAAGACAGGCGUGAAAUCCCCGGGCUUAACCUGGGAAUGGCGCUUGUGACUGCACGGCUGGAGUGCGGCAGAGGGGGAUGGAAUUCCGCGUGUAGCAGUGAAAUGCGUAGAUAUGCGGAGGAACACCGAUGGCGAAGGCAGUCCCCUGGGCCUGCACUGACGCUCAUGCACGAAAGCGUGGGGAGCAAACAGGAUUAGAUACCCUGGUAGUCCACGCCCUAAACGAUGUCGACUGGUUGUUGGGCCUUAGGUGGCUCAGUAACGAAGCUAACGCGUGAAGUCGACCGCCUGGGGAGUACGGUCGCAAGACUAAA
Molecule: ribosomal RNA, 375 nt
Filed under: uncultured bacterium
Lineage: Bacteria
Description: bacterial SSU rRNA
Rfam family: Bacterial small subunit ribosomal RNA
Source: RNAcentral